Molecule: transfer RNA, 63 nt
Filed under: Potamiscus motuoensis
Lineage: Eukaryota; Metazoa; Arthropoda; Malacostraca; Decapoda; Potamidae
Description: tRNA-Gly
Source: RNAcentral
AUUUUCUUAGUAUAUUAAGUACAGUUGACUUCCAAUCAAAAAGCCUAAAAAUUAGAGAAAAUA